UUUGGCACUAGUACAUACUUGCU
RNAcentral lists this microRNA (23 nucleotides) under Eptatretus burgeri (inshore hagfish). Its description in RNAcentral is "Ebu-Mir-96-P1e_5p (mature (guide))". Lineage: Eukaryota; Metazoa; Chordata; Myxini; Myxiniformes; Myxinidae. The record is from RNAcentral.